GACCGGAAGGCAGCAGCCGCACCGGCGUCCGCC
Molecule: non-coding RNA, 33 nt
Filed under: Prorocentrum minimum
Lineage: Eukaryota; Dinophyceae; Prorocentrales; Prorocentraceae
Source: RNAcentral